This 339-nucleotide unclassified non-coding RNA is filed under the name soil metagenome. RNAcentral describes it as "partial contains 5.8S ribosomal RNA, internal transcribed spacer 2, and large subunit ribosomal RNA". The stretch from base 1 to 120 matches the Rfam family "5.8S ribosomal RNA", at positions 35 to 154 of the family's 154-position model. The record is from RNAcentral.
GAUGAAGAACGUAGUGAAAUGCGAUAAGUAGUGUGAAUUGCAGAAUUCAGUGAAUCAUCGAAUCUUUGAACGCACAUUGCGCCCCUCGGUAUUCCGUGGGGCAUGCCUGUUCGAGCGUCAUUUAACCCCUCAAGCCUAGCUUGGUAUUGGGUGCUUGUCCCGCCUCUCGCGCGGCGACUCACCUCAAAGUCAUUGGCAGCCCGCAUCUCGCCGGCCGUGAGCGCAGCACAGACGCGCUCUUGGCAACGACGGAUCGGCUCUCCAAAAGCUUAUUUCAACCACUGACCUCGGAUCAGGUAGGGAUACCCGCUGAACUUAAACAUAUCAAUAAGCGGAGGA